AUACAUGCAGUCGAGCGAACAGAUAAGGAGCUUGCUCCUUUGACGUUAGCGGCGGACGGGUGAGUAACACGUGGGUAACCUACCUAUAAGACUGGAAUAACUCCGGGAAACCGGGGCUAAUGCCGGAUAACAUAUAGAACCGCAUGGUUCUAUAGUGAAAGAUGGUUUUGCUAUCACUUAUAGAUGGACCCGCGCCGUAUUAGCUAGUUGGUAAGGUAAUGGCUUACCAAGGCGACGAUACGUAGCCGACCUGAGAGGGUGAUCGGCCACACUGGAACUGAGACACGGUCCAGACUCCUACGGGAGGCAGCAGUAGGGAAUCUUCCGCAAUGGGCGAAAGCCUGACGGAGCAACGCCGCGUGAGUGAUGAAGGGUUUCGGCUCGUAAAACUCUGUUAUUAGGGAAGAACAUAUGUGUAAGUAACUGUGCACAUCUUGACGGUACCUAAUAGAAAGCCACGGCUAACUACGUGCCAGCAGCCGCGGUAAUACGUAGGUGGCAAGCGUUAUCCGGAAUUAUUGGGCGUAAAGCGCGCGUAGGCGGUUUCUUAAGUCUGAUGUGAAAGCCCACGGCUCAACCGUGGAGGGUCAUUGGAAACUGGGAAACUUGAGUGCAGAAGAGGAAAGUGGAAUUCCAUGUGUAGCGGUGAAAUGCGCAGAGAUAUGGAGGAACACCAGUGGCGAAGGCGACUUUCUGGUCUGUAACUGACGCUGAUGUGCGAAAGCGUGGGGAUCAAACAGGAUUAGAUACCCUGGUAGUCCACGCCGUAAACGAUGAGUGCUAAGUGUUAGGGGGUUUCCGCCCCUUAGUGCUGCAGCUAACGCAUUAAGCACUCCGCCUGGGGAGUACGACCGCAAGGUUGAAACUCAAAGGAAUUGACGGGGACCCGCACAAGCGGUGGAGCAUGUGGUUUAAUUCGAAGCAACGCGAAGAACCUUACCAAAUCUUGACAUCCUUUGACCACUCUAGAGAUAGAGCUUUCCCCUUCGGGGGACAAAGUGACAGGUGGUGCAUGGUUGUCGUCAGCUCGUGUCGUGAGAUGUUGGGUUAAGUCCCGCAACGAGCGCAACCCUUAAGCUUAGUUGCCAUAUUAAGUUGGGCACUCUAGGUUGACUGCCGGUGACAAACCGGAGGAAGGUGGGGAUGACGUCAAAUCAUCAUGCCCCUUAUGAUUUGGGCUACACACGUGCUACAAUGGACAAUACAAAGGGCAGCUAAACCGCGAGGUCAUGCAAAUCCCAUAAAGUUGUUCUCAGUUCGGAUUGUAGUCUGCAACUCGACUACAUGAAGCUGGAAUCGCUAGUAAUCGUAGAUCAGCAUGCUACGGUGAAUACGUUCCCGGGUCUUGUACACACCGCCCGUCACACCACGAGAGUUUGUAACACCCGAAGCCGGUGGAGUAACCAUUUAUGGAGCUAGCCGUCGAA
This 1427-nucleotide ribosomal RNA is filed under the name Staphylococcus haemolyticus. Its description in RNAcentral is "bacterial SSU rRNA". It matches the Rfam family "Bacterial small subunit ribosomal RNA". Lineage: Bacteria; Bacillati; Bacillota; Bacilli; Caryophanales; Staphylococcaceae. The record is from RNAcentral.